This 505-nucleotide ribosomal RNA is filed under the name uncultured bacterium. RNAcentral's name for it is "partial 16S ribosomal RNA". It matches the Rfam family "Bacterial small subunit ribosomal RNA", at positions 28 to 507 of the family's 1533-position model. The record is from RNAcentral.
GACGAACGCUGGCGGCGUGCCUAAUACAUGCAAGUAGAACGCACAGUUUAUACCGUAGCUUGCUCCACCAUAGACUGUGAGUUGCGAACGGGUGAGUAACGCGUAGGUAACCUGCCUGGUAGCGGGGGAUAACUAUUGGAAACGAUAGCUAAUACCGCAUAAUAUUAAUUAUUGCAUGAUAAUUAAUUGAAAGGUGCAAUUGCACCACUACCAGAUGGACCUGCGUUGUAUUAGCUAGUAGGUGAGGUAACGGCUCACCUAGGCGACGAUACAUAGCCGACCUGAGAGGGUGAUCGGCCACACUGGGACUGAGACACGGCCCAGACUCCUACGGGAGGCAGCAGUAGGGAAUCUUCGGCAAUGGACGAAAGUCUGACCGAGCAACGCCGCGUGAGUGAAGAAGGUUGUCGGAUCGUAAAGCUCUGUUGUAAGAGAAGAACGGGUGUGAGAGUGGAAAGUUCACACUGUGACGGUAUCUUACCAGAAAGGGACGGCUAACUACGUG